This 575-nucleotide ribosomal RNA is filed under the name uncultured bacterium. RNAcentral's name for it is "bacterial SSU rRNA". It matches the Rfam family "Bacterial small subunit ribosomal RNA", at positions 350 to 918 of the family's 1533-position model. The record is from RNAcentral.
AGCAGUGGGGAAUUUUGGACAGUGGGCGCAAGCCUGAUCCAGCAAUGCCGCGUGAGUGAAGAAGGCCUUCGGGUUGUAAAGCUCUUUUGUCAGGGAAGAAACGGCUGAGGUUAGUACCUUUGGCUAAUGACGGUACCUGAAGAAUAAGCACCGGCUAACUACGUGCCAGCAGCCGCGGUGAUACGUAGGGUGCAAGCGUUAAUCGGAAUUACUGGGCGUAAAGCGUGCGCAGGCGGUUUUGUAAGUCUGACGUGAAAUCCCCGGGCUCAACCUGGGAAUUGCGUUGGAGACUGCAAGGCUGGAGUCUGGCAGAGGGGGGUAGAAUUCCACGUGUAGCAGUGAAAUGCGUAGAGAUGUGGAGGAACACCGAUGGCGAAGGCAGCCCCCUGGGUCAAGACUGACGCUCAUGCACGAAAGCGUGGGGAGCAAACAGGAUUAGAUACCCUGGUAGUCCACGCCCUAAACGAUGUCUACUAGUUGUCGGGUCUUAAUUGACUUGGUAACGCAGCUAACGCGUGAAGUAGACCGCCUGGGGAGUACGGUCGCAAGAUUAAAACUCAAAGGAAUUGACGGAA